GACGAACGCUGGCGGCGUGCUUAACACAUGCAAGUCGAACGGAAAGGCCCCUUCGGGGGUACUCGAGUGGCGAACAGGUGAGUAACACGUGAGUAACCUGCCCUUGACUUCGGGAUAACUUCGGGAAACUGGGGCUAAUACCGGAUAGGAAUCCUUGCUGCAUGGUGGGGGUUGGAAAGCUUCGGCGGUUUUGGAUGGACUCGCGGCUUAUCAGCUUGUUGGUGGGGUAGUGGCUUACCAAGGCUUUGACGGGUAGCCGGCCUGAGAGGGCGACCGGCCACAUUGGGACUGAGAGACGGCCCAGACUCCUACGGGAGGCAGCAGUGGGGAAGAUUGCACAAUGGGCGGAAGCCUGAUGCAGCAACGCCGCGUGCGGGAUGACGGCCUUCGGGUUGGAAACCGCUUUCAGCAGGGGCGAAGCUUGUGGUGACGGUACCUGCAGAAGAAGCACCGGCUAACUACGUG
Molecule: ribosomal RNA, 465 nt
Filed under: uncultured bacterium
Lineage: Bacteria
Description: partial 16S ribosomal RNA
Rfam family: Bacterial small subunit ribosomal RNA
Source: RNAcentral